Oncorhynchus kisutch (coho salmon) is the source of this 2539-nucleotide RNA transcript. It is a transcript of the gene named sodium- and chloride-dependent GABA transporter 2, with no coding region annotated. NCBI's taxonomy places the organism in Eukaryota, Metazoa, Chordata, Actinopteri, Salmoniformes, Salmonidae. The record is from RefSeq and is a predicted model, not a curated record. The transcript is spliced from 18 exons.
UUGAACCGAGGCCACUGGAAGAGAACCCAGGAGUAGCAUAUCCUCCUCACUUACUACAGAUCCAGUGGUAGGGUGGUGACACAAUGAGAGUUCCAGUAUAUUCUGAAUAGCGAACACCAAGUUAGAGAUCAGUGGAUACUACAGGACAAAAAAAGAGAAUGAACGUGGAGACUCAGGAAGGGAAGAGGGAACAGUGGAGCUCUAAAACAGAGUUCCUCCUCACAGUUUGUGGUAACGUGGUCGGCCUGGGAAAUGUAUGGAGGUUCCCCUAUCUCUGCUAUAAGAACGGUGGAGGUGCCUUCCUUGUGCCCUACCUGCUGUACGUUGGGCUAUGUGGUCUUCCUCUGUUCCUUCUCGAGACAUCAAUUGGUCAGUACACCCAACAGGGCAUUGUCACAUGCUGGAGGAGCUUAUGUCCGCUUGCUGAAGGUGUUGGCAGGGCAGAGCUUCUCAUCCUGAUCUAUGACUCUAUCAUUUACCUCGUGAUCCUGGCCUGGACUCUCUUCUACCUGGUGUUCUCUUUCAGUUCUCAGCUACCCUGGGCCAGCUGUGGUAACACCUGGAACACAGAUCAAUGUGUGGAUUUCUCUUCACUAAACCAUACUGCCAACUGUACCUCCAAAAUCACCACUACUUCUGCUGCCACUGAGUUCUGGGAGCGUCGUGUGUUGGCUAUCUCUGGAGGCAUUGAAGAGGUGGGCAGUGUAAGAUGGGAGCUGAUGCUCUGUCUCCUCGCCUGUUGGGCUGUCUGCUACUUCUGUAUCUGGAAAGGAAUCAGGUACUCAGGAAAGGUGGUAUAUUUCACUGCCACAUUUCCCUAUCUGAUGCUCUUGGUGUUGCUGGUGAGAGGGGUGACUUUACCUGGAGCUUGGGAGGGGAUUCAGUUUUACCUGUAUCCAGACCCAGUCCGCCUUGCAGACCCCCAAGUCUGGAUGGAAGCAGGAACGCAGGUGUUCUUCUCCUACUGUAUUGGACGGGGAAGUCAAACUGUUUUGGGAAGCUUCAACAAAUACAACAAUAACUGCUACAUGGACAGCUUUUGGCUGUGUCUGCUGAAUGGUUGUACCAGUUUUGUGGCUGGAUUUGCAGUCUUCUCGGUGCUGGGAUUCAUGGCACAGAAACAGGGUGUUUCUGUCGCGAUGGUGGCAGAGUCCGGUCCUGGUUUGGCAUUCAUCGCCUUCCCCCAGGCAGCAGCCAUGAUGCCCUUGCCACAGCUCUGGACGGUCUGCUUCUUCAUUAUGCUUCUUCUGCUGGGAAUUGACACACAGUUUGUCAUAAUGGAGGGAGUGAUAACAUCUUUCACAGACUUAUUUCCUGUUACACUGCGAAGGCCCAGAUAUCGAGAGGGCUUUGUGCUCCUCUUCUGUCUCUCCUGCUUCCUUAUACAGCUGACUAUGAUCACAGAGGGUGGGAUCUUUGUGUUCCAGCUCAUUGAUUACUACGGCUGCAGCGGAGCGUGUGUUCUCUUUGUGGCUGUGUUUGAGUCACUGGCAGUGGGAUGGAUCUUUGGGGCAGAUCACAUGGAGGAUGCCAUUAAGGACAUGACUGCACAGAGACCGUGUGUCCUCUUCAGACUGUGCUGGCGUUACUUCACCCCACUUGUGUCUCUGAGUUCCUUUAUUUUACACAUGGUGGACUAUAAGCCUCUCAAGUUUAACCGCUGGUACAUGUACCCGGACUGGGCUUACGCACUGGGCUGGGCCAUGGCCCUCUCCUCCAUCCUCCUGGUGCCACUGUGGGGGAUUGGCAAGAUCUGCGUUGGUACAGGCAGCCUCAGACAGAACUGGUUAGGGAAUGAAAGAGUGAAGUUGGCCCAGAGUAAAGCUGUCUCUCAACACAAAACUAAGCUCUACAAACGUAAUGUGUCAGCUUACAACCUGUUUAUGAGGGACCACCUUAAAGCUAAAGGAGUUAUGGCAGGUACACAGGGCAAAUGGCAGGCAUUACCACCUGCCACAAAAGCCCAUUACAGUGAGGAGGCAGACAAGCUACGGUCAGGAGUUGAAGGGGAACCUGAAGGCAUUAAAAAUGAAGCAGAUGGACAGGGCAGAGUUCCAUGUAUGACUGUGGCUGCCAAGCAGGUGGUCAUUGAAGUAGAGGGCAUGCCAGCUAGGAUAGAGUUGAAAAAGCCCUCCCACUAUGGCAUGGACCAACUAUCUUCCAUUUUGGAGGCAGGCCGUGGCAUCAAGUUCACAAUAACUAGGGGUGGUGCUGGGCCUAGAGCUGGAGAUGGGAGUGGAGCUGGGCCUUGAGAUGGGAGUGGAGAUAGUGAUGGGCCUGGAGCUGGAACAGUGCCUGUAGUUGGUGCUGGGCCUGGGCCUUUAACUGGAGGUUGGGCUGAGGCUGGAGCUGAAGGUUAGACUGCACCAGGACCUGUGUCUAAUUUCCUGGAGACAUCCUUGCAGUUGCAAUGAACUCCAUUAUUACUUAGCCACAAUGAGUCGCUGCCUCUCCUUGUUCGGGCGGCGUUCGACGUUCGGCAUCACCGGUCUUCUAGCCAUCGUCGAGCCACUUUUCAUUUUCCAUUUGUUUCAUCUUG